GACGAACGCUGGCGGCGUGCCUAACACAUGCAAGUCGAGCGAAUGAAGUUCCUUCGGGAAUGGAUUUAGCGGCGGACGGGUGAGUAACACGUGGGCAACCUGCCUCAUAGAGGGGAAUAGCCUUCCGAAAGGGAGAUUAAUACCGCAUAAGAUUGUAGUAUCGCAUGAUAAAGCAAUUAAAGGAGCAAUCCGCUAUGAGAUGGGCCCGCGGCGCAUUAGCUAGUUGGUGAGGUAACGGCUCACCAAGGCGACGAUGCGUAGCCGACCUGAGAGGGUGAUCGGCCACAUUGGGACUGAGACACGGCCCAGACUCCUACGGGAGGCAGCAGUGGGGAAUAUUGCACAAUGGGGGAAACCCUGAUGCAGCAACGCCGCGUGAGUGAUGACGGCCUGCGGGUUGUAAAGCUCUGUCUUCAGGGACGAUAAUGACGGUACCUGAGGAGGAAGCCACGGCUAACUACGUG
RNAcentral lists this ribosomal RNA (464 nucleotides) under uncultured bacterium. Its description in RNAcentral is "partial 16S ribosomal RNA". It matches the Rfam family "Bacterial small subunit ribosomal RNA", at positions 28 to 507 of the family's 1533-position model. The record is from RNAcentral.